RNAcentral lists this ribosomal RNA (301 nucleotides) under uncultured bacterium. RNAcentral's name for it is "partial 16S ribosomal RNA". It matches the Rfam family "Bacterial small subunit ribosomal RNA", at positions 509 to 809 of the family's 1533-position model. The record is from RNAcentral.
CAGUAGCCGCGGUAAUACGAAGGGGGCUAGCGUUGCUCGGAAUGACUGGGCGUAAAGGGCGCGUAGGCGGAUCACGCAGUCAGAUGUGAAAUUCCUGGGCUUAACCUGGGGGCUGCAUUUGAGACGCGUGGUCUAGAGUGUGAAAGAGGGUCGUGGAAUUCCCAGUGUAGAGGUGAAAUUCGUAGAUAUUGGGAAGAACACCGGUGGCGAAGGCGGCGACCUGGUUCAUGACUGACGCUGAGGCGCGAAAGCGUGGGGAGCAAACAGGAUUAGAUACCCCUGUAGUCCCUGUCUCUUAUCC